RNAcentral lists this ribosomal RNA (483 nucleotides) under uncultured bacterium. RNAcentral describes it as "bacterial SSU rRNA". It matches the Rfam family "Bacterial small subunit ribosomal RNA", at positions 8 to 518 of the family's 1533-position model. The record is from RNAcentral.
AGAGUUUGAUCAUGGCUCAGGAUUAACGCUGGCGGCGUGCCUAAUACAUGCAAGUCGAAUGGUAGCAAUACCAUGGCGAACGGGUGAGUAACACGUAGGUAACCUGUCUUUAAGCCGAGGAUAACCAUUGGAAACGAUGGAUAAUACUGGAUAGGACAUUUGAAGGCAUCUUUAGAUGUUUAAAGAUUUAUCACUUAGAGAGGGGCCUGCGGCGCAUUAGCUAGUUGGUGAGGUGAAGGCUUACCAAGGCGAUGAUGCGUAGCCGGACUGAGAGGUUGAACGGCCACAAUGGAACUGAGAACGGUCCAUACUCCUACGGGAGGCAGCAGUAGGGAAUUUUCGGCAAUGGGCGGAAGCCUGACCGAAGCAACGCCGCGUGAACGAAGAAGUAUUUCGGUAUGUAAAGUUCUUUUAUUAGGGAUGAAAAGACAGAUUGACGGUACCUAAUGAAUAAGCUCCGGCUAACUACGUGCCAGCAGCCGC